This 468-nucleotide ribosomal RNA is filed under the name uncultured bacterium. RNAcentral's name for it is "partial 16S ribosomal RNA". It matches the Rfam family "Bacterial small subunit ribosomal RNA", at positions 28 to 507 of the family's 1533-position model. The record is from RNAcentral.
GACGAACGCUGGCGGCGUGCUUAACACAUGCAAGUCGAACGGAAAGGCCCUGCUUUUGUGGGGUGCUCGAGUGGCGAACGGGUGAGUAACACGUGAGUAACCUGCCCUUGACUUUGGGAUAACUUCAGGAAACUGGGGCUAAUACCGGAUAGGAGCUCCUGCUGCAUGGUGGGGGUUGGAAAGUUUCGGCGGUUGGGGAUGGACUCGCGGCUUAUCAGCUUGUUGGUGGGGUAGUGGCUUACCAAGGCUUUGACGGGUAGCCGGCCUGAGAGGGUGACCGGCCAGAGUGGGACAGAGAUACGGCCGGGGCGCCAGCGGGAGGCAGCAGUGGGGAGUGUUGCACGAUGGGCGGAAGCCUGAUGCAGCAACGCCGCGUGGGGGAUGACGGCGUUCGGGUUGUAAACGGCUUCCGCCUGUGACGAAGCGUGAGAGACGGUGAUGGGAAAAGAAGCACAGGCUAACUAGAGG